This 319-nucleotide unclassified non-coding RNA is filed under the name rhizosphere metagenome. Its description in RNAcentral is "partial ribosomal RNA internal transcribed spacer region". The record is from RNAcentral.
GUAGGUGAACCUGCGGAAGGAUCAUUACCAUUCAAAAAAACUUAGACCCACGGGGGCACGCUCUCCAAUAGGACAGUCAGUAGAUGUACGGUUCUGCUGGCUGGCAGUCGAACGGAAGGCAGUUUCCAUUUAUGGUUCUGCCUUGGCUAGUAAGCUGAUCGAGCUGCCUGUCUGACCCCACCCUUGCUUUUUGCGCACCCAUUGUUUCCUCGGCAGGCUUGCCUGCCAGUAGGACCCCCCUUUAAACCUUUUGUAAUUGCAAUCAGCGUCAGAAACAACGUAAUCGUUACAACUUUCAACAACGGAUCUCUUGGUUCUG